CAAAAACAUGUCUUUUAGAUUAUAAUUUAAAGUCUAACCUGCCCACUGAUUUAAUUAUUUAAAGGCCGCAGUAUUUUGACUGUGCAAAGGUAGCAUAAUCAUUUGUCUUUUAAUUGAAGGCUGGAAUGAAUGGUUGAAUGAAGUAUUAACUGUCUCAAUUUUAUAAAUUAAGAAUUUAGCUUUUUAAUUAAAAGGUUUAAAUGAAAUUAAAAGACGAGAAGACCCUAUAGAUUUUUAUAAUAUUUAAUAUUAAUUUUAUUAAGUAAAAAAUUUUAUGAUUAUAUUAUUUAUUAUUUGAUUGGGGUGAUUAAAAAAUUUAAUAAACUUUUUUUUUAUAUAAACAUUAAUAUAUGAUUAUUUGAUCCAAUUCUAUUGAUUAAAAGAUUAAAUUACCUUAGGGAUAACAGCGUAAUUUUUUUAGAGAGUUCUUAUCGAUAAAAAAGAUUGCGACCUCGAUGUUGAAUUAAAGAUUAUUUUUAAAUGCAGAAGUUUAAAGUUUAGGUCUGUUCGACCUAUGAAUCUUUACAUGAUCUGA
Molecule: ribosomal RNA, 535 nt
Filed under: Wesmaelius involutus
Lineage: Eukaryota; Metazoa; Arthropoda; Insecta; Neuroptera; Hemerobiidae
Description: partial 16S ribosomal RNA
Rfam family: Archaeal large subunit ribosomal RNA (bases 400-535)
Source: RNAcentral